This 253-nucleotide ribosomal RNA is filed under the name uncultured bacterium. Its description in RNAcentral is "partial 16S ribosomal RNA". It matches the Rfam family "Bacterial small subunit ribosomal RNA", at positions 524 to 776 of the family's 1533-position model. The record is from RNAcentral.
UACUUAGGUGACAAGCGUUGUCCGGAUUUACUGGGCGUAAAGAGCGCGCAGGCGGUCGAUCAAGUCGAGUGUGAAAGCCCCCGGCUCAACUGGGGAGGGUCAUUCGAUACUGAUCGACUCGAAGGCAGGAGAGGGUAGUGGAAUUCCCGGUGUAGUGGUGAAAUGCGUAGAUAUCGAGAGGAACACCUGCGGCGAAGGCGGGUUGCUGGGCUGAAACUGACGCUGAGGCGCGAAAGCUAGGGGAGCGAACGGG